GAUGAACGCUGGCGGCGUGCCUAAUACAUGCAAGUCGAGCGAACGGACGAGAAGCUUGCUUCUCUGAUGUUAGCGGCGGACGGGUGAGUAACACGUGGAUAACCUACCUAUAAGACUGGGAUAACUUCGGGAAACCGGAGCUAAUACCGGAUGAUAUUUUGAACCGCAUGGUUCAAAAGAGAAAGACGGUCUUGCUGUCACUUAUAGAUGGAUCCGCGCUGCAUUAGCUAGUUGGUAAGGUAACGGCUUACCAAGGCAACGAUGCAUAGCCGACCUGAGAGGGUGAUCGGCCACACUGGAACUGAGACACGGUCCAGACUCCUACGGGAGGCAGCAGUAGGGAAUCUUCCGCAAAGGGCGAAAGCCUGACGGAGCAACGCCGCGUGAGUGAUGAAGGUCUUCGGAUCGUAAAACUCUGUUAUUAGGGAAGAACAUAUGUGUAAGUAACUGUGCACAUCUUGACGGUACCUAAUCAGAAAGCCACGGCUAACUACGUG
This 497-nucleotide ribosomal RNA is filed under the name uncultured bacterium. Its description in RNAcentral is "partial 16S ribosomal RNA". It matches the Rfam family "Bacterial small subunit ribosomal RNA", at positions 28 to 507 of the family's 1533-position model. The record is from RNAcentral.